Molecule: small RNA, 261 nt
Filed under: Macaca mulatta (Rhesus monkey)
Lineage: Eukaryota; Metazoa; Chordata; Mammalia; Primates; Cercopithecidae
Description: Metazoan signal recognition particle RNA (ENSMMUG00000064720.1)
Source: RNAcentral
GCCGGGCGCAGUGGCGGGCGCCUGUAGUCCCGGCUACUCGGGAGGCUGAGGCAGGAGAAUGGCGUGAACCCGGGAGGCGGAGCUUGCAGUGAGCUGAGAUCCGGCCACUGCACUCCAGCCUGGGCGACAGAGCGAGACUCCGUCUCAAAAAAAAAAAAAAAAGACAGAGUCUCACUCUGUCAUCCAGGCUGGAGUGCAGUGGUGCAAUCUCAGCUCACCACAACCUCUGCUUCCUGGGUUCAAGCGAUUCUCCAGCCUCAG